CCUACGGGGGGCAGCAGUGAGGAAUAUUGGUCAAUGGGCGCAAGCCUGAACCAGCCAAGUCGCGUGAGGGAUGACGGUCCUAUGGAUUGUAAACCUCUUUUGUCGGGGAGCAAGGCCCGCCACGUGUGGCGGGAAGGAGAGUACCCGAAAAAAAAGCAUCGGCUAACUCCGUGCCAGAAGCCGCGGUAAUACGGAGGUUGCGAGCUUUAUCCGGUUUAUUUGGGUUUAAAGGGUGCGUAGGCGGAAGGUUAAGUCAGCGGUAAAAUGUCGGUGCCCAACACCGGCCUGCCGUUGAAACUGGUCUUCUUGAGUGAGCGCGAAGGAUGCGGAAUGCGUGGUGUAGCGGUGAAAUGCAUAGAUAUCACGCAGAACUCCGAUUGCGAAGGCAGCAUACCGGCGCUCAACUGACGCUGAGGCACGAAAGCGUGGGGAUCGAACAGGAUUAGAUACCCGAGUAGUC
Molecule: ribosomal RNA, 460 nt
Filed under: uncultured bacterium
Lineage: Bacteria
Description: partial 16S ribosomal RNA
Rfam family: Bacterial small subunit ribosomal RNA
Source: RNAcentral